This 366-nucleotide ribosomal RNA is filed under the name Listeria monocytogenes. RNAcentral describes it as "partial 23S ribosomal RNA". It matches the Rfam family "Bacterial large subunit ribosomal RNA", at positions 802 to 1165 of the family's 2925-position model. Lineage: Bacteria; Bacillati; Bacillota; Bacilli; Caryophanales; Listeriaceae. The record is from RNAcentral.
GGAUGAGGUGUGGGUAGCGGAGAAAUUCCAAUCGAACUUGGAGAUAGCUGGUUCUCUCCGAAAUAGCUUUAGGGCUAGCCUCGAGGUAAAGAGUCAUGGAGGUAGAGCACUGUUUGGACUAGGGGCCCUUCUCGGGUUACCGAAUUCAGAUAAACUCCGAAUGCCAUGUACUUAUACUCGGGAGUCAGACUGCGAGUGAUAAGAUCCGUAGUCGAAAGGGAAACAGCCCAGACCACCAGUUAAGGUCCCCAAAUAUAUGUUAAGUGGAAAAGGAUGUGGGGUUGCUUAGACAACCAGGAUGUUGGCUUAGAAGCAGCCACCAUUGAAAGAGUGCGUAAUAGCUCACUGGUCGAGUGACCCCGCGCC